GUAGGCUUGAGUGCAGCUGUGAGUGCAAGUUGAGUGUAGGCUUGAGUGGCUGUGCAUGCAGGUGUGUGAGUGUGGGCAUGAGUGCAGGUCCAAGCGAGUGUGAGUCCAAGUUGAGUGUGCUCUCAGGUGUGUGAGUGGGGACUCAGGUGAGUGGGGACUCAUGAGACUCAGGUGACUGGGGGCUCCAGUAAAGGUGUGGAGACUCUGGUGAGUGCGGACUCCAGUGAGUGGAGACUCAGGUGAGUGGGGGCUCCAGUGAGAGUGUGGAGACUCAGGUGAGUGUGUGAGUGGGGACUCCAGUGAGUGGGGACUCUGGUGAGUGGAGACUCAGGUGUGUGAGUGGGGACUCAGGUGAGUGGGGACUCAUGAGACUCAGGUGACUGGGGGCUCCAGUAAGGGUGUGGAGACUCUGGUGAGUGGGGACUCCAGUGAGUGGAGACUCAGGUGAGUGGGGGCUCCAGUGAGGGUGUGGAGACUCAGGUGUGUGUGGGGACUCCA
Molecule: long non-coding RNA, 498 nt
Filed under: Apteryx haastii (Great spotted kiwi)
Lineage: Eukaryota; Metazoa; Chordata; Aves; Apterygiformes; Apterygidae
Description: lncRNA (ENSAHAG00000005970.1)
Source: RNAcentral